GGUGGCAUGGUGGUUAAAGGUUUGGUUGCUAACCAAAAAGUUGGCAGUUCGAAUCCUCCUGCUGCCA
This 67-nucleotide transfer RNA is filed under the name Loxodonta africana (African savanna elephant). It matches the Rfam family "tRNA". Rfam says of the family: Transfer RNA (tRNA) molecules are approximately 80 nucleotides in length. Their secondary structure includes four short double-helical elements and three loops (D, anti-codon, and T loops). Lineage: Eukaryota; Metazoa; Chordata; Mammalia; Proboscidea; Elephantidae. The record is from Rfam by way of RNAcentral.